ACGAACGCUGGCGGCGUGCUUAACACAUGCAAGUCGAACGGAAAGGCCCUGCUUUUGUGGGGUGCUCGAGUGGCGAACGGGUGAGUAACACGUGAGUAACCUGCCCUUGACUUUGGGAUAACUUCAGGAAACUGGGGCUAAUACCGGUUAGGAGCUCCUGCUGCAUGGUGGGGGUUGGAAAGUUUCGGCGGUUGGGGAUGGACUCGCGGCUUAUCAGCUUGUUGGUGGGGUAGUGGCUUACCAAGGCAUUGACGGGUAGCCUGCCUGAGAGGGUGACCGGCCACAUUGGGACUGAGGUACGGCCCAGACUCCUACGGGGGGCAGCAGUGGGGAAUAUUGCACAAUGGGCGGAAGCCUGAUGCAGCAACGCCGCGUGCGGGAUGACGGCCUUCGGGUUGUAAACCGCUGUCGCCUGUGACGAAGCGUGAGUGACGGUAAUGGGUAAAGAAGCACCGGCUAACUACGUG
RNAcentral lists this ribosomal RNA (467 nucleotides) under uncultured bacterium. Its description in RNAcentral is "partial 16S ribosomal RNA". It matches the Rfam family "Bacterial small subunit ribosomal RNA", at positions 29 to 507 of the family's 1533-position model. The record is from RNAcentral.